GGCCUCUGUUGCUGGAGGCAGCAGCUGGUGGAGGGGUUCUUUGAAGAGGAAACCUCCAGGGCUCUCCCAGUUUCUGGGAUGAUUUCCCAGCACAGUUUGUGAAAGCGGGAAGAUGCAAAGAUCGUAAGGUUUUGGGAAAGAUGCAUCCAAGAGGAGAUAAAUUUAAAUACGACAAAUGAUGCUGCCGGUGUGUAUAAACGUUCUAGUCUGUGUUACUGUAAAACAAGUGCUGGGAUGCUGGUGCUGCAAUGGAAUAUUUGCAGUCUACGGACAUGGUGCAGAAGGAAGGGCAAGUAUAAUACGCCGAUGGUACGUGAAGCAAAUCACACCGGCUUCACAUGAGAAUCUUUUUUUUCCAAAUCACUGCAACAUUGGGAGCCUCCACUUGGACCCCGACCCUGUCCCGUAUUUCACAGAUGACUGACGAUGGUUCUUCAAUCUCGCGUUAUCUGUCCGUAAGACUGUAAAAUGUAGGUGCAGAACCAUUGAGAAUAAAACAUAAAACAUUAAAA
This is a long non-coding RNA of Amblyraja radiata (thorny skate), 512 nucleotides long. RefSeq lists it as uncharacterized. NCBI's taxonomy places the organism in Eukaryota, Metazoa, Chordata, Chondrichthyes, Rajiformes, Rajidae. The record is from RefSeq and is a predicted model, not a curated record. The transcript is spliced from 2 exons.